Molecule: ribosomal RNA, 253 nt
Filed under: uncultured bacterium
Lineage: Bacteria
Description: partial 16S ribosomal RNA
Rfam family: Bacterial small subunit ribosomal RNA
Source: RNAcentral
GACGUAGGGCGCGAGCGUUGUCCGGAUUUAUUGGGCGUAAAGAGCUCGUAGGCGGCUCGUUGCGUCGGCUGUGAAAACCCGCAGCUCAACUGUGGGCUUGCAGCCGAUACGGGCGGGCUAGGAUUCGGUAGGGGAGACUGGAAUUCCUGGUGUAGCGGUGAAAUGCGCAGAUAUCAGGAGGAACACCGGUGGCGAAGGCGACUCUCUGGACGGCAACUGACGCUGAGGCACGAAAGCGUGGGGAGCAAACAGG